ACCAAAGUGAAGACGAUGAUGAAGAUGAGGAGUUGGCCCUUAUUACCUAAAAAUUUAGAAGAUUCAUGAAGAAGAAAAGGCAAGGAGAUAGAAGGAAAGUCCAAGGAAAAAGAGAAUCCACCAAGGAAAAAGGAAAAGUGGCAAGCAAGGAGAAAGCAAAGGACCAAAAUGUCAUAUGCUAUGAAUGUAAGAAGCCUGGCCAUUACAAAUCUAAAUGUCCACUACUCAAGAAGGCCCCCA
RNAcentral lists this long non-coding RNA (240 nucleotides) under Elaeis guineensis (African oil palm). RNAcentral describes it as "long non-coding RNA (EGUI_LNC031669)". Lineage: Eukaryota; Viridiplantae; Streptophyta; Magnoliopsida; Arecales; Arecaceae. The record is from RNAcentral.